UACGUAGGGUGCAAGCGUUGUCCGGAAUUAUUGGGCGUAAAGAGCUCGUAGGCGGUCUGUCGCGUCGGAUGUGAAAACCCAGGGCUCAACUCUGGGCCUGCAUUCGAUACGGGCAGACUAGAGUUCGGUAGGGGAGACUGGAAUUCCUGGUGUAGCGGUGAAAUGCGCAGAUAUCAGGAGGAACACCGGUGGCGAAGGCGGGUCUCUGGGCCGAAACUGACGCUGAGGAGCGAAAGCGUGGGGAGCAAACAGG
Molecule: ribosomal RNA, 253 nt
Filed under: uncultured bacterium
Lineage: Bacteria
Description: partial 16S ribosomal RNA
Rfam family: Bacterial small subunit ribosomal RNA
Source: RNAcentral